This 254-nucleotide ribosomal RNA is filed under the name uncultured bacterium. RNAcentral's name for it is "partial 16S ribosomal RNA". It matches the Rfam family "Bacterial small subunit ribosomal RNA", at positions 524 to 776 of the family's 1533-position model. The record is from RNAcentral.
UACGAAGGGGGCUAGCGUUGUUCGGAAUUACUGGGCGUAAAGCGCACGUAGGCGGAUAUUUAAGUCAGGGGUGAAAUCCCAGAGCUCAACUCUGGAACUGCCUUUGAUACUGGGUAUCUUGAGUAUGGAAGAGGUAAGUGGAAUUCCGAGUGUAGAGGUGAAAUUCGUAGAUAUUCGGAGGAACACCAGUGGCGAAGGCGGCUUACUGGUCCAUUACUGACGCUGAGGUGCGAAAGCGUGGGGGAGCAAACAGG